AUUGAACGCUGGCGGCAUGCCUAACACAUGCAAGUCGAACGGUAACAGGCCCUUCGGGUGCUGACGAGUGGCGGAUGGGUGAGUAAUACUUAGGAAUCUACCCUGUAGUGGGGGACGAACCCGGGGAAACUCGGGCUAAUACCGCAUACGCUCUACGGAGGAAAGCGGGGGACCGCAAGGCCUCGCGCUAUUGGAUGAGCCUAAGCCCGAUUAGCUAGUUGGUGGGGUAAUAGCCUACCAAGGCAAUGAUCGGUAGCUGGUCUGAGAGGACGACCAGCCACACUGGGACUGAGACACGGCCCAGACUCCUACGGGAGGCAGCAGUGGGGAAUAUUGGACAAUGGGCGAAAGCCUGAUCCAGCGAUGCCGCG
This 371-nucleotide ribosomal RNA is filed under the name uncultured bacterium. RNAcentral describes it as "bacterial SSU rRNA". It matches the Rfam family "Bacterial small subunit ribosomal RNA", at positions 30 to 401 of the family's 1533-position model. The record is from RNAcentral.